Molecule: long non-coding RNA, 3681 nt
Organism: Salvelinus fontinalis (brook trout)
Lineage: Eukaryota; Metazoa; Chordata; Actinopteri; Salmoniformes; Salmonidae
Exons: 2
Source: RefSeq, a predicted model, not a curated record
UACAAAUUGUAACCACGCCGGAGAAGUGUAGCGAUAAAAUAAUCCCCCAAAAAGGGCAGCAAUGUUUUUUCAGUAAUAUGGAAAUGGUUCGGGUUUAAGAGGUCUGAUAACGAAUGUCCUGUGUAAAAUGUGUCGAAAUACAAUUGCUACGAAAAGCAGCAGCACAAACAACCCCUUCAACUGAAACACGCGGUGGAAUGCAUGAGACUACGCAAUACCGAUUCCAGUCGCCCGAUUCACAAAACGUCAGCUAAGACAAACUACCAUAGCCGCAUCCUUUUCAAAUGUUAUCUCUUAUGACAAGAAAGGUUUGAGGUGGAAGGAGAUAACGGAUGCAGUGACCUAUUACUAUGCUAAAGUUAUCUUUACAGUACAAAAGCCAGGCUUUAAAAAGCUGCUAACACAGUUGACCACAUAUCAGCUGCCAAGCCGCAAGUAUUUCACUGAAGAAGCCCUGCCGUGAUUAUACACUGCUACCCGCGAAAGAGUCGCAGAGAAGCUGGCUAGUGUGUGUUAUUGUUCCACUACAGCCGAUCUAUGGUCGAGCAGAAUGUCUGAGCCGUACCUACGUUUGACAGUCCACUACAUAAAUGACUACUGGAAAUUGCAAAAUGGCUGCCUCCAGACGUCUUACUUUCCUGAUGAUCAUAUGGGUGAAGUAAUAGCCCAGGGACUCUCUGGCAUCGUGGAAGAUGAGGGAAUACCGACAGGUGUGCCUGACAGCCGGAGCAACAUGAUAAAAGCAUUGCGCUUGCUGGACCGGCCUGCAGUGCUUUGGGGACAGGCUUCACCUCGCCAUCGGUGGAAGUGUAACCAAGACAACCCUUCUGGAUAUAAACUUUACGCCUCCAACUCAAUCAUCAAGUUUGCAGACGACACAACAGUAGUAGGCCUGAUUACCAACAAUGACGAGACAGCCUACAGGGAGGAGGUGAGGGCCCUGGCGGAGUGGUGCCAGGAAAAUAACCUCUCCCUCAACGUCAACAAAACGUAGCUGAUCGUGUACUUUAGGAGACAGCAGAGGGAGCACGUCCCCCAUUCACAUCGACGGGACUGCAGUGGAGAAGGUGGAAAGCUUCAAUUUCCUCGGCGUACACAUCACUGACAAUCUGAAAUGGUCCACCCACACAGACAGUGUUGUGAAGAAGACGCAACGGUGGGCUUGGCCCCUAAGACCCUCAGAAACUUUGACAGAUGCACAACCGAUAGCAUCCUGUCGGGCUGUAUCACCGCCUGGUACGGCAACUGCACCGCCCGCAACCGUAAGGCUCUCCAGAGGGUAGUGAGGUCUGCACAACGCAUCACCGGGGGCAAACUACCUGCCCUCCAGGACACCUACAGCACCCGAUGUCACAGGAAGGCCAAAAAGAUCAUCAAAGACAACAACCACCCAAUCCACUGCCUGUUCACCCCGCUAUCGUCCAGAAGGCGAGGUCAGUACAGGUGCAUCAAAGCGGGGACCGAGAGACAGAAGCUGUUUUUCUAUCUCAAAGCCAGCAGACUGUUAAAUAGCAAUCACUAGCCGGCUGCCACCCGGUUACUCAACCCUGCACCUUAGAGAGUGCUGCCAUAUAUACAUAGACAUGGAAUCACUGGUCACUUUAAUAAUGUUUACAUACUGCUUUACUCAAAUGUCUACACUAUUCUACUGUAUUUUAGUCAAUGCCAUUCCAACAAUGCUCGUCCUAAUAUUUAUAUAUUUCUUAAUUCCAUUCUUUUACUUUUUAGAUGUGUGUAUUGUGAAUUGUUAGAUACUACUGCACAGUUGGAGCAAGGAACACAAGCAUUUCAAUACACUCGCAAUAACAUCUGCUAAAUAUGUGUAUGUGACCAAUACAAUUUGAUUUGAAGUACAGAGAGAUCCUUGAUGAAAACCUGCUCCAGAGAGCUCAGGACCUCAGACUGGGGUGAAGGUUCACCUUCCAACAGGACUACGACCCUAGGCACAAAGCCAAGACAACACAGGAGUUGCUUCGGGACAAGUCUCUGAAUGUCCUUGAGUGGCCCAACCAGAUCUGCAGAGAAGAAUGGGAGAAACUCCCCAAAUACAGGUGUGCCAAGCUUGUGGCAUCACACCCAAGAACACUCGAGUUGAGGCUGUAAUUGCUAAAGUUGCUUCAACAAAGUCCUGAGUAAAGGGUCUGUAUACUUAUGUUAAUGUGAUAUUUCAGUUUUUAAAAAAGUAUACAUUUGCAAAAAAUUCUAAAAGCCUGUUUUUGCUUCGUCAUUAUGGGGUAUUGUGAUGUCAUUAUGGGGUAUUGUGUGUAGAUUGAGGGGGGGGGGGGAACAAUUAGAGCCUUAGAAUAAGGCUGUAACGUAACAAAAUGUGGAAAAAGUCAAGCGGUCUGAAUACUUUCUGAAUGCACAAGUGUUAUGUGUUUACCUUGUCUUUCUUUUUGUUGCAGACUGUCAUCUGUAUUGUUCUCUGUCUGAGAGUAUGGAUUCCUGAUACAAACACCUCCUUUUGUAUUUGUAGAAUUACAUCUAUAUAUUCUGUUCUAUCUGAUAUGAUAUCUAGUGGCACUUUGUUGUUACUUUAGAUUACGGCAGGUGUCUGUAAUUAUCUCUGGCUGCUAAGGCUGCCCAAGUCUAAUCUCUUUCCCAUUUUAUUGACCAAUCAGAUCAGCACUGAAAAUGAUCUGAUUUGAUUGGUUAAAAGACCAAUUAGCGUGGGUGGGGGGGAAUCAGAAUUGGUCUGCCUGUAUAAACGCAGCCUUAGUGGCCUCAUCUGUCUCACUGUUUGGGGAGAUUUUCUCUGAUGAAGGUCGAACGACCGAGAGAUAAAAUGUAAGACAUUUGCAUCGGUUUCUUUUUUUUCUGUUUCUAAAGUCAGUAAAUUCUAGAACCUAUUUUAUUCAAAUAACUUCCUGGUUUUCGUGACACACGUUUGUAUCCAUGUACAGUAAAAGUGAAUAAAAACAUUUUCAUUGAGUACAACUAUAGUUAACUAUCAGUAGAUCUACAUACAAACCUAUUCUACAUAGUUGUAUCUCCGGUGUGAUCCGCAGAAGUCUCCGUAGCCGAUCAUUCUCCUCCUGGUACUCUGCUACCGCUUUCGCAAAUUCCCUGGAAAUCUCCACAGCAGCAAAUGCCGUUAAACGCUCAUUUAAAAACUCUCGAAACGACUGUAGUUUAGAUGUUUUCAGUGGACUGAGAGUUGCGUGUUCAGCUAGUACGGCUUCUUGACGUGGGUCCUCCUGAUCACAUUCACUUUUCACACAGGAAGGAGUAAAUAUGAACUCCAUGACAUCAGGCUCCAACCCUUGAAUCUGCUCUUCCUCCUGACUGGUCCUGACUUCCUCCUGUUCCUCUUUAAUCUGUGUGGUCUCUGGGUCCUCCUGUCCCAGACUGGGACUCCACUCCUGCUCACAGUGCUGCUGCUCAGGGGGAACCUCCUCUUCAGAGACAGAGAGCUGCAGGGAUUCUGGAGGGACUGAGAGGAGGAGUAGAGGUUACCACAGUCCCCAAAUCCAGAACAAAUUCAAGAAAGCGUACAGUAUUAUAAAGAGCCAUUGUCUCAUGGAACUCUGUUCCAUCUCAAAUUGCUCAAAAUGAAAAGCAAACCUGUUUAAAAAAACAGAAAGCAACACCUCACAACGUCUCUCCUCUACUUGACCUAAAUAUUUUGUGAGUAUGUAUUGAUAUGUAGGCUACGUGUGCCAUUAAAAAUGUUUUCUGUAA